AACCUAGUAAAAUUGAUUGCAUUUAUGUUUGCGUUAAAAUUAAUUUCAUAUAGUAUAGUAUAUCAAUAUCAUAACAGUUAAAUUUAAAUAAAAAAUCAUGCACAAGGUCUAAAACUUUAAGGAGACAAAAAACAAAUAAUCAGCUUGAGAAUCCUGUGUACCAAACCAACUAGAAACUAAAUUCCAAAACUGAAGAAGCUGCCCUAGGAUUAAUUAGAAACAGUAUCACAUAAGAUUUUUAAUCCCCAUGAAACAAAACAUUAAGUAUGCAAUUUAAAAGUAGUAUAUUUCACCAAAACAUAGAUUCCAAUAGAUUUUAAAUCCCCAUAGAUUCCAAUAUUCAAACCCUAACUAACAUCAAGUCCAAUAAAAUCACAUCAUCAAAACCAAAUUCAAUAAGGGUCUGUUUGGUUCAAAUUAGGGGGAGGGGGGGUGAGGUAUUUUUAUAGAGGGGAGGGGAGGGAAGGGGAGAGAAAUUUUUUAAUUACAUAUGUGUUUGGUUCAAAAGAGGGGAGAGGAGGGGAGGUGAUUUAAUUAAAUAUAUGUUUG
RNAcentral lists this long non-coding RNA (549 nucleotides) under Trifolium pratense (red clover). RNAcentral's name for it is "long non-coding RNA (TPRA_LNC006411)". Lineage: Eukaryota; Viridiplantae; Streptophyta; Magnoliopsida; Fabales; Fabaceae. The record is from RNAcentral.